Long non-coding RNA from Leopardus geoffroyi (Geoffroy's cat), 2709 nucleotides. RefSeq lists it as uncharacterized. The record is from RefSeq and is a predicted model, not a curated record. The transcript is spliced from 3 exons. NCBI's taxonomy places the organism in Eukaryota, Metazoa, Chordata, Mammalia, Carnivora, Felidae.
CACUGUGCUUCAUGGUGUGGGAAGACUCGGCUUUGUGAAGUGAAAGAAAGCGUUAUAAUUUUAGAAACAUUCUUUGAGAAAAUAAUACAAUUUUAGGAUAGAAUACUGCAACAAAGAGACACAACAGUGCCUAAGAAACAUUUAAAUAUAUCCACUAAACCCUACAACAUGUAUCCCCAAGCUAACUUUCCUUCAGCUAGAUCCCAUAAUGUCUAAGGCCACUUCAAAGCUCUCUGACAGGAGGGAGAUUGUGAUGGAAGGAAAGUCGGAGAGCAAAGACAGAGGUCUUAACUGAUCGUGGUUAAAAUACCAUAAAUUUGCAAAUGUAACAAAACAUGUGCCCUUGUGAACACGUUGUUAGGGCUCCUUCUCAGGCCUUGCCAAGUUAGGGGCCUUGAAACUCAAGCUUCAUUAACUUUGAGAGAAAUCCUCCUCUGGCCAGCCCCACCCCUCCUACCAUUUUUCUGCAGAUUAAAUCCGACUAAACUUAAAGGCAGCCAGUGGGAUGAGUAGAAGGCAGAAAUUAUAGAAAGAUCACAGUGGGGACUCAUAUUCCUCUUGCAAAUAUCAAGCCCUCAGACUGGGAGAUGAUGAAGGACAUGUUAGGUCUCCGGGAAGAUACAUAAAGGAGUCUUUGGGCUGACAGGCCUCCAGAGAGGUUGAUGUCAUCACAGCCACAAAGAAUGAUUUCCUACAGCAAUAGUGGAUCUGUGACGGCAUCGGGAUUACAAAAGCUGUUCUGGAGGCCACAGGUCCCAAAUCAAGGUGUCAGGAAAUCACACCUGAACUAUGCAAACUGGGCGGGGCAGCUGCUGCCAAGAAGAGCGAUACUGUCAUCAGAAGGAGGCGGACCCACGCGGCUGAGCAGGCUCAUGGUGCAGAGGAAGGUGGGGAGUUCGAUCUGGAUGUGCCGAGUUGUGACACAGCAGGUGAGACACCUGAGAGUGAUGUCCCCUGUCCGUUAAAUGUGGCAGUAGGUGUAUCAUUUUUAAUUUUAGCAAGAAUACUUUCAGUGGAGCGUGGAGCAAGGGGACUGCUGAAGGGAGGUGACGAAUGGAUGGGAACUGAGCAAAAUCGAAGCGGGGCUGGUCAGAAGCCAGAGAACUAGGGUCUCACCAUGAUGACAGUGUUGCUGAGGCAACCUUUCAGGAGGCAAUGCCCUAAAGCAGUAGUUCUCAAAGGCUGUUACCCAGAUCAGCAGCAUCAGGCAGCUGGGAAUUUACUAGAAAAGCAAAUUUUGAGGACCCCCCCAAGACCUACUGAAUCAAAACCUCUAGGGUGGAGCCCUAAAAUCUGUGUUUAACAAGCCCGCAGGUGACCCUGAUGUGGGCACUCCGGCCUCCGGAGCCUGGAGGAACCAACUUUGACAGAACUACUGGUGCCGUGUGUUCAAGGAGGCGCACGUGUGUGGUAGUAACAUGUUUACUCCAGCUGGGCUUGCUUGGAAGCAGGGAGUCUGGUUUGGGGUGGGGGUACAUGGGGGUGCGGGGUCUAAGGGCAUGAAUUUUUGGAAAGCAAGGCAGUGAGGAAAAGGACAGGUUCCUUCCCAGGGCAAGGUCCCUGCAGCUGGAGUGUGAAAUACACCUGUUCUGAUCUUUCAAGCAGAUCAGCAGCUUGACAUCCUCCCACUCCAGAGCCAGCAGCUUUCUUGAAGAGGAUGGGGCUAGUGUUGGGCUGAAGCUGUCACAGAGUGGCAUUUCUCACAAUAUUUGAAGAGCCCCUGGGAAAUGUUAACCAGAAACUCGGUUGGCUCUUUGACUUCAGUCUUUAUGGUUGAAAACCUUUCUAAAAUGGAUCUGUCUUUUUGCCACUUUAGAGACUAGAAUAACAUCUAAAGUAGCAGAGUUGUGAAAGAUUUAUUAUCUUUUACAAUGCAGAGUGGGUUUAAGAUGAGUGCUCUGAUAUUAUCACUCUUACCCUCUUGCAUUUCUGAUUUGUUUCUGAGAGAUUGGGGUGGAUGGAGUUCCUGGUGACUGCUGGGAUUUGCAUGUGCCCCCCACCCAACAGUGCCUAUGACACACUCUGCUAUAUGUGUCUGCCUCUGAUGUCCCCUGAACAGCUGUGCAUGAAAGUCAUCUGUCCAGUGGGCAGAUAACAGGAAGUAUGGCACAGUGUGAAUGCCACGAGGGCAGGGCUGGUUAGUUCAUGGUUUGACCUUUAAAUCCUGGAAUUAUAACAGUACCCAAUAAGCAUGUUGAAUGCAUGAAAGAACAUGGUUAUUGUAAUUGGAUUGGGGAUCAUUUUGGAAUCUAUAGGUCUUAGGGUUGCCAUUCUGAGCAUUAGUCCUCACUAUCUGGGACCAUAAAUAUAACAUGUAUAGACAGGACUGGCUACAUAAUUUGUGUGGAUCAGUGCAAAAUGAAAAUUUAGAGCCCCUUAUUCAAAAAUUAUUAAGAACCUCAAGACAGGGACAGCAGAACAUUAAAGCAAAUAUGGGGUCCUUCUGAAUGUGGGCCCCCAUGCUCCUGCCUGAGUCCCAUGAAGUCAGACCUAAAGGUAGGAGAUGGAAUGAAAUUUUACUAGUCCUGGUAACUUCUGGAAAUAGCUUUCAGAAAAUUUUUGCAGAAAUCCUUGAAAUGACCUUUUUAUGUGGUUUUCUCUUUUUUUUCAUGAAAGAAGAGGGCAAUUUAAAGAUGGAGGGUGUCUGGAGGUGCCUGGAUGGCUCAGUCGGUUAAUUGUCUGACUUCAGCUCAGGUCACGAUCUCGUGG